Molecule: long non-coding RNA, 2384 nt
Filed under: Homo sapiens (human)
Lineage: Eukaryota; Metazoa; Chordata; Mammalia; Primates; Hominidae
Description: HSALNT0333559
Source: RNAcentral
CCUCCCUCUCCCGUCUCCCUCUCCCUCUCCCGUCUCCCUCUCCCUCUCCCGUCUCCCUCUCCCUCUCCCGUCUCCCUCUCCCUCUCCCGUCUCCCUCUCCCUCUCCCGUCUCCCUCUCCCUCUCCCGUCUCCCUCUCCCUCUCCCCUCUCCCUCUCCCGUCUCCCUCUCCCUCUCCCGUCUCCCUCUCCCUCUCCCGUCUCCCUCUCCCUCUCCCGUCUCCCUCUCCCUCUCAUGCCGAGCCAAAGCUGGACGGUACUGCUGCCAUCUCGGCUCACUGCAACCUCCCUGCCUGAUUCUCCUGCCUCAGCCUGCCGAGUGCCUGCGAUUGCAGGCGCGCGCCGCCACGCCUGACUGGUUUUCGUUUUUUUUUGGUGGAGAUGGGGUUUCGCUGUGUUGGCCGGGCUGGUCUCCAGCUCCUAACCGCGAGUGAUCCGCCAGCCUCGGCCUCCCGAGGUGCCGGGAUUGCAGAUGGAGUCUCGUUCACUCAGUGCUCAAUGGUGCCCAGGCUGGAGUGCAGUGGCGUGAUCUCGGCUCGCUACAACCACCUCCCAGCCGCCUGCCUUGGCCUCCCAAGGAGCCGAGAUUGCAGCCUCUGCCCGGCCGCCACCCCGUCUGGGAAGUGAGGAGCGUCUCUGCUUGGCCACCCAUCGUCUGGGAUAUGAGGAGCCCCUCUGCCUGGCUGCCCAGUGUGGAAAGUGGGGAGCGUCUCUGCCCGGCCGCCAUCCCAUCUAGGAAGCGAGAAGCGCCUCUUCCCCGCCGCCAUCCCAUCUAGGAAGUGAGGAGCGUCUCUGCCCGGCCGCCCAUCGUCUGAGAUGUGGGGAGCACCUCUGCCCCACCGCCCUGUCUGGGAUGUGAGGAGCGCCUCUGCUGGGCCGCGGCCCUGUCUGGGAGGUGAGGAGUGUCUCUGCCCGGCCGCUCCGUCUGAGAAGUGAGGAAACCCUCUGCCUGGCAACCGCCCCGUCUGAGAAGUGAGGAGCCCCUCCGUCUGGCAACCACCCCGUCUGGGAAGUGAGGAGCGUCUCCGCCCGGCAGCCACCCCGUCCGGGAGGGAGGUGGGGGGGGUCAGCCCCCCGCCCGGCCAGCCGCCCCGUCCGGGAGGUGAGGGGCUCCUCUGCCCGGCCGCCCCUACUGGGAAGUGAGGAGCCCCUCUGCCCGGCCAGCCGCCCCGUCCGGGAGGGAGGCGGGGGGGGGGGGGUCGGCCAGCCGCCCCGGCCGGGAGGUGAGGGGCUCCUCUGCCCGGCCGCCCCUACUGGGAAGUGAGGAGCCCCUCUGCCCGGCCAGUCGCCCCGUCCAGGAGGGAGGUGGGGGGGUCAACCCCCCGCCCGGCCAGCCGCCCAGUCCGGGAGGGAGGUGGGGGGUCAGCCCCCCGCCCGGCCAGCCGCCCCGUCCGGGAGGGGGGAGGGGGGGUCAGCCCCCUGCCCGGCCAGCCGCCCCGUCCGGGAGGGAGGUGGGGGGGGUCAGCCCCCCGCCCGGCCAGCCGCCCCGUCCGGGAGGGAGGUGGGGGGAUCAGCCCCCUGCCUGGCCAGCCGCCCCGUCCGGGAGGUGAGGGGCGCCUCUGCCCGGCCGCCCCUACUGGGAAGUGAGGACCCCUCUGCCCGGCCAGCCGCCCCGUCCGGGAGGGAGGUGGGGGGAACAGUCCCCCGCCCGGCCAGCCGCCCUAUCCAGGAGGUGAGGGGCGCCUCUGCCCGGCCGCCCCUACUGGGAAGUGAGGAGCCCCUCUGCCUGGCCAGCCGCCCCGUCCGGGAGGGCGGUGGGGGGGUCAGCCCCCCUCCCGGCCAGCCGCCCCAUCUGGGAGGUGAGGGGCACUUCUGCCGGGCCGCCCCUACUGGGAAGUGAGGAGCCCCUCUGCCCGGCCACGACCCCGUCUGGGAGGUGUGCCCAGCGGCUCAUUGGGGAUGGGCCAUGAUGACAAUGGCGGUUUUGUGGAAUAGAAGGGCGGGAAGGGUGGGGAAAAAAUUGAGAAAUCGGAUGGUUGCGGGGUCUGUGUGGAUAGAAGUAGACAUGGGAGACUUUUCAUUUUGUUCUGUACUAAGAAAAAUUCUUCUGCCUUGGGAUCCUGUUGAUCUGUGACCUUAUCCCCAACCCUGUGCUCUCUGAAACAUGUGCUGUGUCCACUCAGGGUUAGAUGGAUUGAGGGCGGUGCAAGAUGUGCUUUGUUAAACAGAUGCUUGAAGGCAGCAUGCUCGUUAAGAGUCAUCACCACUCCCUAAUCUUAAGUACCCAGGGACACAAACACUGCGGAAGGCCGCAGGGUCCUCUGCCUAGGAAAACCAGAGACCUUUGUUCACUUGUUUAUCUGCUGACCUUCCCUCCACUAUUGUCCUAUGACCCUGCCAAAUCCCCCUCUGCGAGAAACACCCAAGAAUGAUCAAUAAAAAUAAAA